RNAcentral lists this ribosomal RNA (1330 nucleotides) under Ambrosiella xylebori. Its description in RNAcentral is "eukaryotic LSU rRNA". It matches the Rfam family "Eukaryotic large subunit ribosomal RNA", at positions 44 to 1402 of the family's 3401-position model. Lineage: Eukaryota; Fungi; Ascomycota; Sordariomycetes; Microascales; Ceratocystidaceae. The record is from RNAcentral.
CAAUAAGCGGAGGAAAAGAAACCAACAGGGAUUGCCCUAGUAACGGCGAGUGAAGCGGCAACAGCUCAAAUUUGAAAUCUGGCUACUUUGUAGUCCGAGUUGUAAUUUGUAGAGGAUGCUUUUGGUGAGGUGCUUUCUGAGUUCCCUGGAACGGGACGCCAGAGAGGGUGAGAGCCCCGUACAGUUAGCAACCGAUCCUUUGUAUAGCUCCUUCGACGAGUCGAGUAGUUUGGGAAUGCUGCUCUAAAUGGGAGGUAUAUCUCUUCUAAAGCUAAAUAUAGGCUAGAGACCGAUAGCGCACAAGUAGAGUGAUCGAAAGAUGAAAAGCACUUUGAAAAGAGAGUUAAACAGCACGUGAAAUUGUUGAAAGGGAAGCGCCUAUGACCAGACUUGUUUCUAUCAGUUUUGGUAGUUUUCGGACUGCUUUACUCUGUUAGUACAGGCCAACAUCAGUUUGUUGUCGGGGAGAAAGGCUUAGGGAAUGUGGCUCCCUCGGGAGUGUUAUAGAUCUUUGCAUAAUACCNUUCGGCAGACUGAGGACCGCGCUUCGGCAAGGAUGUUGGCGUAAUGGUUAUCAGCGACCCGUCUUGAAACACGGACCAAGGAGUCAACCUUAUAUGCGAGUGUUUGGGUGUAAAACCCCAGCGCGUAAUGAAAGUGAACGUAGGUGAGAGCUUCGGCGCAUCAUCGACCGAUUCUGAUGUUCUCGGAUGGAUUUGAGUAAGAGCAUAUAGGGUUGGACCCGAAAGAAGGUGAACUAUGCUUGUAUAGGGUGAAGCCAGAGGAAACUCUGGUGGAGGCUCGCAGCGGUUCUGACGUGCAAAUCGAUCGUCAAAUAUGAGCAUGGGGGCGAAAGACUAAUCGAACCUUCUAGUAGCUGGUUCCAGCCGAAGUUUCCCUCAGGAUAGCAGUGUUGAGCUUCAGUUUUAUGAGGUAAAGCGAAUGAUUAGGGACUCGGGGGCGCUAUAUUGCCUUCAUCCAUUCUCAAACUUUAAAUAUGUAAGAAGCUCUUGUUACUUAAUUGAACGUGAGCAUUCGAAUGUAUCAACACUAGUGGGCCAUUUUUGGUAAGCAGAACUGGCGAUGCGGGAUGAACCGAUCGCGUGGAUAAGGCGCCAGAGUGAACGCUCAUCAGACACCACAAAAGGUGUUAGUACAUCUUGACAGCAGGACGGUGGCCAUGGAAGUCGGAAUCCGCUAAGGACUGUGUAACAACUCACCUGCCGAAUGUACUAGCCCUGAAAAUGGAUGGCGCUCAAGCGUUCCGCCCAUACCACGCCCUCAGAGUAGGAUCUAUGCUCUGAGGAGUAGGCUGGCGUAGAGGUCAGUG